AGGAGUGUGGUUGUAAAAAAUCAUCAAAAUCAAAGUGAAAAUAACCGUUAAAUCGUGAUUUUUUGUUUUAUAACCGUCGAAAAGUUUUGUCUCAUUACUUGAUCUCUGAAUGUUUAUUUUUUGUGAUUUUUGGUGUAUGUGAUCUCAAAGCAUAUACAAACAAGUUUGACGGUUGAAUCGUUGAAAUUAGUUUCAUAGAAUUUGUAUCUCUUCAAAACGAUAGAUUCACUAACACUUAGAGUUUAUUUAUACUUUCAUUAAGUAUAACAUAAGAUUUUGUGGUAUCCACUUGUGUAAAUAUUUUAAAUUGACUAUCAAAUUCAUUCAUUGUAUUCAUAUAGGGUCAAGGAGUGUAGUUGUAAAAAAUCAUCAAAAUCGAAGUUAAAAUAACCAUCAAAUCAUGAUAUUUUGUUUUAUAACCGUUGAAAGGUUUUGUAUCAUUACUUGAUCUCUGAAUGUUUGUUUUUUGUGAUUUUUGGCGUAUGCGAUCUCGAAGCAUAUACAAACAAUUUUGACGGUUGGAUCGUUGAAAUUAGUUUCAUAGAAUUUGUAUCUCAUCAAAACGAUAGAUUCACUAACAUUUAGAGUUUAUUUAUACUUUCAUUAAGUAUAAUAUAAGAUUUUGUGGUAUCCACUAGUGUAAAUAUUUUAAAUUGAAAAUCGAUCUCAUUCAUUGUAUUCAUAUAGGGUCAACGAGUGUAGCUGUAAAAAAUCAUCAAAAUCGGAGAUAAAAUAACCGUUAAAUUGUGAUUUUUUGUUUUAUAACCGUCGAAAAGUUUUGUCCCGUUACUUGAUCUCUGAAUGUUUUUUUUUUUUUGCGAUUUUUUGCUGAUGCAAUCUCGAAGCAUAUACAAACAACUACAUUUUCAAGAAACCAUCGAGGAAACAAUUCACGAUGCUUUUUGGCAUAUAAAUGUGAAGGAUGUUCCCGCUUCAUCAACUUUUCAUGCUUAUCUAGGUAGGCAAUUGUCUCGUCACAAUUGUUAAGUAUAAACCAAUGUGCUACCUCCAUGUUCAUUUUGUUAAAUGACUCCCCUCUGAUUGGUUCGCUAAAGGGUUGUGCAAUUUGGGCAAAAAUAGAAAGUUUUCAUUUCUCACACCACUGUCAUUAUUGCAUUGCUAUCGGUUGAACGUAGUCUCAACGUCUUGUAGGUGUAUUGCACAAAAUGUAAGUGACUCAAAUGCGGCCCAUACCUCAAUGAUUGAUCCUUCUGGCUUUGCCUUGUUCCGUACACUCUUUUUUAAUUUUCCCAGUAGUUUGCAUCAAUAAACAAAAUAUCGUAUAAAAUUAGUCAAAUCAUUCAUACAUCAUGAACUAAAGCAUUUAUGGCGAUUAUAAACCUUUCUAUCAGAUACAUCCAUCGGUAGUUGACGGGUCUAGCUAGAAGUGCCUCCUUUGGCAAGUGAAUCAUCACGUGGAUCAUACCUGUGAAGAAAGCUGGGGGAAAUAUUUGUUCAAACUUGCAUAACACUUCAAUAAUAUCAUCGCACAAUUGUUUAACAUUGGACUUGCUCAAAGAUCUUGCAGUUAAUUGAGAAAAAUAUCACGCCAACAACAUAAUCGGCUUUAACACGUCUUCAGGUAAAAGCUGUCAAAUUCCCACUGGAAGAAGGCGUUGAAGUAUGACAUGACAAUCAUGACUCUUAAGGUCGGAAAAUUUUCUGCCAUCCAUGUUUGCACAACGGCCGAUGUUUGAAGCAUACCCAUCUGGAAACUUUACAGAAGAUAGAAAUUGCAAAAACUCUUUCCUCUUAUCUGGUUUCAUAAAAAACGAUGCGGGCUUCUUUCUGGCUAUGUUUUCGUCCCUCGUCAUCCAUAAACCUAGCCUAAUGCCCAUUUUUUCCAGAUCGAUCUGAGCUUUUAUUGUGUCCUUUGUUUUUCGAUGUCUAGUAUAGUUAUGACCAGUGUAUCAAACACAUUUUUCUCAACAUGCAUUACAUCAAUGUUGUGUCUUAAUUUUAAUUUGGACCAAUACGGGAGCUCGAACAACCUUGUCUUGUGUGUGUAGUUUAAAUGCGUGUUUGGUCUUGUCAUUUUUAAAUAUUUGCCUAACGAAGCAAAAUCCAACCGAUUCACCAGAGCCAAAAUUUCAAAU
This 2096-nucleotide long non-coding RNA is filed under the name Malus domestica (apple). Its description in RNAcentral is "long non-coding RNA (MDOM_LNC014058)". Lineage: Eukaryota; Viridiplantae; Streptophyta; Magnoliopsida; Rosales; Rosaceae. The record is from RNAcentral.